Molecule: ribosomal RNA, 241 nt
Filed under: uncultured bacterium
Lineage: Bacteria
Description: partial 16S ribosomal RNA
Rfam family: Bacterial small subunit ribosomal RNA
Source: RNAcentral
UGAUCCUGGCUCAGGACGAACGCUGGCGGCGCGCCUAACACAUGCAAGUCGAACGAGAGAGAGGGAGCUUGCUUCCUUGAUCGAGUGGCGAACGGGUGAGUAACGCGUGAGGAACCUGCCUCAAAGAGGGGGACAACAGUUGGAAACGACUGCUAAUACCGCAUAAGCCCACGGCUCGGCAUCGAGCAGAGGGAAAAGGAGCAAUCCGCUUUGAGAUGGCCUCGCGUCCGAUUAGCUUAGG